Molecule: ribosomal RNA, 427 nt
Filed under: Staphylococcus aureus
Lineage: Bacteria; Bacillati; Bacillota; Bacilli; Caryophanales; Staphylococcaceae
Description: partial 23S ribosomal RNA
Rfam family: Bacterial large subunit ribosomal RNA
Source: RNAcentral
CACGUCUAAGCAGUAAGGCUGAGUAUUAGGCAAAUCCGGUACUCGUUAAGGCUGAGCUGUGAUGGGGAGAAGACAUUGUGUCUUCGAGUCGUUGAUUUCACACUGCCGAGAAAAGCCUCUAGAUAGAAAAUAGGUGCCCGUACCGCAAACCGACACAGGUAGUCAAGAUGAGAAUUCUAAGGUGAGCGAGCGAACUCUCGUUAAGGAACUCGGCAAAAUGACCCCGUAACUUCGGGAGAAGGGGUGCUCUUUAGGGUUAACGCCCAGAAGAGCCGCAGUGAAUAGGCCCAAGCGACUGUUUAUCAAAAACACAGGUCUCUGCUAAACCGUAAGGUGAUGUAUAGGGGCUGACGCCUGCCCGGUGCUGGAAGGUUAAGAGGAGUGGUUAGCUUCUGCGAAGCUACGAAUCGAAGCCCCAGUAAACGGC